Gasterosteus aculeatus aculeatus (three-spined stickleback) is the source of this 8976-nucleotide long non-coding RNA. The record is from Ensembl. NCBI's taxonomy places the organism in Eukaryota, Metazoa, Chordata, Actinopteri, Perciformes, Gasterosteidae.
UGUCAGAUCUGGGGUCUAUCUGAUGUUGGUUCUGUCUGAUGGUGGUUCUGUCUGAUGUCGGUUCUGUCUGAUGGUGGUUCUAUCUGAUGUCGGUUCUGUCUGAUGGUGGUUCUGUCUGAUGGUGGUUCUGUCUGAUAGUGGUUCUGUCUGAUGGUGGUUCUGUCUGAUGGUGGUUCUGUCUGAUGUCGGUUCUGUCUAAUGUCGGUUCUGACUGAUGGUGGUUCUGUCUGAUGGUGGUUCUGUCUGAUGUCGGUUCUGUCUGAUGUCGGUUCUGCCUGACAUCCACUGCUACUGUCAUUAUCAGUAGUUACUUUCACAUUACUAUUGCUGACAACAUUACGGAGAAACCCUAUCCUUUGUACUCAUUUAACUUAAGGGCAGGAUACAUGUUUAAGGAACACAUUUACAUGUAUUAACCUUUUAAUAGUCUAUUCACAUUACUUGAAUUGAAAUAUUUCCAUUUCUAAACCAUGUGUGCAUGUGUGUGUCUGACAGCAGUGUGUGUGUCCGCAGCCUGCUGUGUUAUGCCUGGAUGAACUGCUGCUGAACUCUGCAUGACUGUGGCAUGAAAAAGUCACACACACACGUGCACGUUCCGAGGUCCCCUCACUGAGUCCUGUGUGUGUGUGUGCAUGUCUAUGCGCAAAUGUGUGUGUGCGGGUUAGAUUGUUGUGAACAAGUUAGUUAGUUAGUUCCUUCACACAUCCAUCACUGUGUCAUAAUGUUAUAAAAUACGAUAUGCAAUGUGUUUGUCACAACAAACGACGUGAUCGUGUAGCUAUCUAACAUCUUUUGACAGCUCACACAGGCCCAAUCCCCUUCUCCCCCCCCCUCCGUGAGGGUUUGGUUCUGUCCCACUGACACGUUGUGAAGCGUUCCAGUCUCCGGCUGACAUUUAGAGCCCUUCAUGAACCCUUUCUGUAAGUCAGCAUGCUGACUUUGCCCCAGGGGACAAGUCAUUGCAAUGGGACGUUAAGAAUGGGUUAACCUGUGGAAGGAUGCAGAUGUAAAGAAACGGUAAACAAAGAGGACGACACAUGUGUUCAGCCUGUGAUAUUUGUACUCAGAAACAUUGAGGAUUAAAAAUAGAAAAAAAUAGAACAAAGAAAUGUAUUUAAUUUUGUCAAUGAGUGAAUUGAUUAUUUGAACUGACCGUCUUCAUCUUGUGAGGACAGUCUGAAGACAUACAAAUCAGGGAGGAAAAGCACAAAAUAAUUACCCUCAAUUUGAAAUCCUAUUGUUUAUGUUGUCAUGGUAACGUGAGCCCUGACAGGCUCUCAAACUCAACCACUCACCAGGUGACCAAUUUUCUGAGCGUUCAGGGUUUGAGGGUUUGAGACCUCAGGGGGGACACACAGUGUACACAAUGGCGAGGGUAUCAUCCUCCGGGACAUGGGGGCGCUCACGCAAAGUUUGAUGUUUCUCUUGUACAACUGUUACACGUCAGGAAUCUGGGAGUUCUCUUCGACCAGGAUAUGACCUUCAACUCGCAUAUAAAGAAGACUUUAAGGACUGCCUUUUUUAAUCUACGUAACAUAUCAAAAAUCAGGAACUUCCUGACUCAAAGUGAUGCAGAAAAAUUAGUUCAUGCGUUUGUCACUUCCAGUUUUUUUUUGUGCUUUCUCCCCUAGCAGGUCUCCGUAGAUCGUGGUCCCUUCGGGACCCUGGUCCUGACACCUGCCGUGGCCCUGCUGACGCCUGCUGCUGCCAUCAUCAUCAUCAUCAUCAUCAUUAUUUUAGAUAUUAAUCAUAUUACUGUACUCGUAAACCAACAUUACCCUCUCCUAAAGUCUCUGUGCUCUCCCUCCUCACAGGCUUCUGUGGAUGGUGGUUCUAUCUGAUGGUGGUUCUAUCUGAUGGUGGUUCUAUCUGAUGGUGGUUGCCCCUGCAGUGGUCCUGCUGUGCGCCUGGCUUACUACUCAGUUACUUGAAUCAUUUCUGUCAUAGGAAUUGCAUGUAUUAUACAUUGUUCAUUCUGUACACAUGGCAUCCAUUGUAGUCUGUCCAUCCCGGGAGUGGGAUCCCUCCUCUGACGUUCUCCCUAAGGUUUCUUCCCUUUUUUCCCUCUUGGAAGGGGUUUUUCAUUUUUUGGGGAGUUUUUCAUGUGCCGAUGGUGGGUUUCGGGACAGAGGAUGUUGUAUGUGUACAGACUGUAAAGCCUUCUGAGGCUAAUUUGUCAUUUGCGAUUUUGGGCAAUACAAAAUAAAAAUAAUUGAAUCAAAUUGAAUUUAACUGGUACAGUGUAGGGUUAGGGUUAGGGUUAGGGUUAGGGUGUGUGUGUGUGUGUGUGUGUGUGUGUGUGUGUGUGUGUGUGUGUGUGUGUGUGUGUGUCAAAUCUGAGAGGUGAGCCACUAGCCGGGAAUCAAGUUGUCUGGCCACUGUUAUUUUUCUCGGCCUCCUGAUGACCCUUGAGGAGGUGUGUGUGAAUGUGUGUGAGUUCUUUUUGUAUACAUCAGUGACAGGAAGUGUGUGUCAACCACAACAAAAGUGUGUAUCCCCCCCCCUCAAAAAAAGUUGGGGGUAAACCUUUUUUGCGGGGAGGUUGGCCACAGUCAGGCACCACCUCUGACACACGUAGAACAUUAUUUGCAUGCAUGGCCCCUUAUUCUGAUGAAGGUUUCCACUGUUCAUCACACACUUGGGCUCAAGGUCCUGGGGUUACUAUUUGACACCAAUCAGCAUGUGGUACUUUAUGGCAGCCUCAUUAAUUGUGAUACGACAAACUGAUGGACAACUGCAGCCACAGUUUUACCGGUUCAUGGACCAGGACCGUAGAGAGAGGAGCCGUGGAGGAGGCAGGUCGGCCAUUACACCAGUACCCCUUUUCCACCAACAAGAACCAGGUGCUGGUUCGGAGCCAGAGCUAGAGCCGGUUCGGGGUUGGUUCAACUGACGAGCCUCCAAAGAACCGGUUUGCUUUUCCACAGGCUAAAGAGCCAGCGCACUGAGCGCAGAGCCAAGUCCUACGUCACAGUUACGUCUCAUCUUUCCCAGCAACGUUAGCGUGGCGGCGCCAAACACAAACACAUCAUCAACAAUGGCGGACUUUGGUUUGCUAUUGAUGUUCAUGGCUUUGCAGACCUACAUCGACAUCCAAACACGGCGGAUCGAACACGGCGGAUCAAACAUGUUCCCGCGGCUCGCCUUUAUUCGUUGUUGUGUCGUUGUUAGCUCGAUUAGCUGCUAUCAAAAAAUGGCGGAUCACAAAGUUUCUCUCGUCUUGUUGGUCACGGUAACCCCGCCCCCAGCCGCUGACGUAAGCGGUUCUUACUUCUAGACCAGCAAUGAUGUGGUGCUACUUAAGAACCACUUUUACUGGUUCGGAGCUGGUGCUUUGGUGGUGGAAAUCCAAAGAACCCAUUUGAAACCAGGCUCUGGCUCCGAACUAGCACCAGUUCUGCCUUGGUGGAAAAGGGGCCCGGAGGCCUUAUUUCAGAGACCUCAGCAGAGACAGGCUGCAUUCACAAGUCAGCCGUUGGGGCAAUUAGCACAGGGUCGUGCGACGGCGUGGGAGUGACACCUAAAUGGGCCAUUUGAGUGACACUCAUUUGAUUGACCCAUUUGAUUUGAAUGGCCCAUUCAUCGUUGGUUACCUGAUUGGCCACUGCAGUGUGACCAGGGUUCUACAAAAGUUGAUUGAAGGGUCUUUAACAGUGAGAGCGCCGCUUCUUCCAUUGAACUGAAACCAGGAUCUUUCCCUGACCUUUUGUUGCUCCUCAGCACAAAUGCUGAUUUCAUUUCCACCCUGCAUGGGAUAUUUAGUUGAUUAUCGCCUCACUCGAGGCUUGUGGGUGGAUUUGAACUUACAUUACUUAUUUAUUCCUGAAUGCCAGCAGACGGCAAUGACGUGGAGUACAUACAGCACCAAUAAACUAUAAUAUAAUAUAUAAUACAUCACAUAAAAGGAGAGCAAUAUAGCAUUACAAGCAAAUAACAAACAUAACUUAAUAAAACAUAGUCAUCAAACAGAUGCGUAUUAGAGGCCGCAUGUGACAUGCAGACUUUUAAUACACUAGGUAGACUUGUGGAGUCAGAGCAAGAUGAAACUUUAAAAUGACUCUUGUCGCGUGCUUUUAUUCAGUCCAGAUGAAAAGAGCAUGACUAUCAGUUUUAAAUCUAGAAUUUCCAUGUUGUUCUGCAUUUUAACAUGGUGUUUUAUCUGAAAAUGUUCACAUAUGUGGACUCAAAAGCUGAUCCAAUGGUUACUUAGAAAUGGGAUGUGGUGUAUAUAUGUAUUUUAGAGCUGGUUACCCCACUGUUCCUCCAGUGGAGCAGGUAUCGCCUGCAGCGCUCAUAUUUUAACUACGAUGUUCUCACACUAUACAUAAAUCAUAUUUGAUUUACUCUGAAAUUGAACUUUGUGAAUACUUUUGAGGUUCAUACUUUCUACAAAAACAUGGGCAUGUCAGCAUGCUAAGACAGGUCUCAGUUUGUGAAUGGGGGCUCGUGGACCGAGUAGCUGCCUUGCACACCCAUGUGGGGAGACUGGCACCACCAGCUCGUCAUGCAGCAUCUUGCAGUCUUUAGUUACACCAACGCACCUUUUUAAGUGUUCUAAAAUCCUUCAGUUGCAUCAUGCCCCGCUUUGUGCUUUCUCUGUUCAUCUUGAGUCCCUCUUGUGCGGUUUCAUCCUUCUGUCUCAUUGCUUUACAUUACAGGUCAUUUAUCCAAAGCGACUUACAUUACAUUUUUAACCCAUGGCUUUUACAUUUUUUGCCCGGGGAGCAAUUAGGGGUUAGGUGUCUUGCUUAGGGACACUUCGACAUGGGACAUUGGGCAGCCAGGACUUGAACCACCAACCUUGUGGUUCCCAGCGCACCCUCUCUACCCCGGCCUGAAGCUACUGUUUGGUGGAGUACAGCUACAUCCCUCACACAUCCUGGUCCUUUAGUUCUGAUGCAAGCUUCCAUAAUAUAGGAUCCUUGUUGAUGCUAGUUUUCAUGUCAAACCUGUCACGUUUUUCUCCUUGGCUGUCUACUGCACUCUGGAAGUCUAUAUAAUAUCUUUACCAUUGUCAUGAUAUUCAUCCAAAAUAAAUGUCUUUAUUUUUUUUAUCCCAAUCAGACAGUUAGAAUUUGGGAAUUACCUUUCAAAAACGCCUUACUCCGCUUUUUAAUGAAGCAAACCCCCCUGACCCUUCACCUGCCUCCUCAUCACUCUCCCCGCUGUCCCCAAAGAUUACGCUCCAUUGAGAGAGCUAUACGUCUACAAUAUGAAUGGAUUUGGUUCCCUUACAGUCAGCAUACAACUAGCAAAAUACAAGAAUCAGUGACCAUGGAAAAGGUUACAAGGAAAUUCUUCUUCUGUCUCUGUCUGAAACUCAUCCUAGACUACUCUGCAAUGAAGACACGAUGGUCCUUUGAAGGUGACAAUGAGAGAUGGCUCGUUUCAGAGCAAACACUGAGACUAUGAUUGAUCAUGAGAGCCAACAGAAAGUGAAACUGGAUGAUGAAUCUGUUCGCACAAAUGUGCAUUUGUGGGUGUUAGUGGGUGGCUUUGCGUGUAUGUGUGACCCUACGUGUGUGUUUGUGGGUAUUUGCAGGAAAUGGCAGCUUGCCAAACUAGAGCCCUGCUCAGACCCGUCGUCCUGUGUCCAGGUAUCUCCAGAGUGUAAAUCUCUUCACACCUGACAUCAGAAUGUGUCUCCUGCGACCGUUGGUUUCACUUCAUUGUUCUCUUUAUAUUUCCCCCAGAUGGAAGCUGCUAACUGCUCAUAACCGUUAUUAACUUGUGUGUUGGGUGAUUUAAGUACGUCAAUCAAUGUGUAUAGCCAUUUUUGUUUGACUUGACCUGUCUUUUACCUCUUUUACUCCUGUGCUCACCUGUGUUGGAAUAUUCUCGCCCUUGUGAUACUUCCUUCCACCUGCCCUCAUGUCUGUCCACUGGGUCUAGUGGUCUGAUUCUUCUGUAUUUACAGUCCUGUCUUUUGGUGCUUGGUUUGUUUGUUUCAUAGCAGAAGCCAAAUUAGCAAGUGAAUUUUUAUAUUAAUUUCCCCUUUCUUUGCUGUACUGGAUUGCCACCGAACCGUGACUUUUGUGUCCCAGUACGCCUAUAAUGUCUUCAUAAUUUUAAACAGACAAAACCAGUUUUUAAGACUUGUAAAUUCUAGGAAUAAUACUGCGUUCAUCCUCCUUACAUUUACGUGUUCAUACAUUGAGCUGGUGGAGCUUGGUGGAAAUGUACGCUUUCAUGAGUCUGGUUUUCCAUCUUCAAGCUGUCCGCCUCCAGUGCAUUGCAGCUCAGCUCACACCUGAGGGAAGGGCCUGGAUGGUAACCUCCAAAUGUAUUCCAGACCUGCUACUUUCUGUGACGCCCUUUGUUUCAUUGUGUGACAGUCGCUAGAUGUUCACCGUUACAUCCCCCUCACACGUUCCCCUCACGGGGGACUCCUUUGUGGUUGACACACGUUGUCUUGUACUCACGUGGUUCACGGGAGGAGUUAGGGAGGGGUCGUAGUUGUAUACUUGUUGUAUUAUGAGGAGUGUUUGUGGUUUUAUUAUGGUGGCGGGGAGCGGGGGCGGGGGGGGUCUUUGGGAAGCCCAAAUGGCUCUAGGGCAGGCAAUGUAUUUCAACCACUUUAAAAUGGAUUGCCAUGAAAUGGACUACACACUUCAUCCCAUCUUUCCCGUCCCGUAGUCGCCCUUAAAUUAUUUGAUUUGGCUGACAAAAUAUUUACUCCGAUACAGAUUUUGAAUUCACAUUCACAUUUUAAAAACACUUGGCCUUCUCUGUAAGGCCUCAUGUAAAUUAAUAAUGAUUUCAUCAGUGAACUUUGGGCAACAGAGACAUUUAAACAGGCCCUUAUCACAGAAAUACAGAGGUUCACAACAGUGAGCCGUGACAACGUUGUGCAUGAUACAUAAGCGGUUUUCUGGUAAAUUGUUUACUUUUCACACACUAGCAAAUGUUUCAAGGCCUGUGGGUUUCUUCUACCUUAAAACAUAUAUUACUAUAAAUGAAAUACAGUCAAAUGAAUUGUUGCAUCAGAAUAGUUACCUUGCUUGAAGAUUGAAACUAGAGAAAGUCACAACCUGCCUCUUAGGAUGCGACAAAUACGCUGCAGACGCCCCGGUGGAGGAAAAAACAACCAUUCAAUUUGAACUCUAAGCUGGUGUUUAUAUUGUCCCAAUCCUGUCAACACUCAAGUGAUAACAAGUUAGCUCAAAAAUAAAUCUGCCCAGUGUUAAAUACAUCACAUGUCAUUUAGCUGACACGUUUGUCCAAAGUGACUUAUAUUGCAUGUUUAACCCAUGGUUUCUACACUUUAGACUGGGGAGCAAUUAUGGUUUAGGUGUCUUGCUCAGGGACACUUUGACACGGGACAUGUAGCAGCCGGGGUUCUAACCGCCAACCUUGUGGUUCCCAACUCACUCUCUCUAUUCCACGCGUCACAGUACGUAGAGUUAAACCAAACACCAAAGAAGUGUGACGCUGUACAGUUACAUUUCAAACCUAUCAAACAUUUAACACUCUGUUAAGUGUUGCAAAUGAAUCUGAUCUUGACACUGAAUAAUGACUCCAGCUCUUUCCUACAAUUGACUCUGUAAGAGUUGAAUCCACUUUUUGCAGUGUGAUUUCAACUCUGCACUUUUGCGACACGCCGGAAAAUUAACUCUAAGAAUUUUGCAGUGUUCUGAUUUACAACAUUUAGAAAAAAAAAACACAUCUAUGGCUUUUUCUUUUUUUUUUCAAAGGCUAUUCUGCUUCUAUAUUACAAUCAGGGACAACAUGCCACAAAGGGCCUGGGGUUAUUUCCAGCCCUGCCCACCGUAUCACUUUGUACACUAGUGAAAAAUCCUCAACUUGUACAUUAAAGAACAAGGAACACACAAAUGGAGAAAUGAAAGUUUGUACAUUUUUUUGUACAUGGGGCACCAGACAAUUGAAAAAUUCAACUAGCUGGCAUAUUGCUCAAUUUGAUCUCAUACUAUAUAAGGAAGCUCAAUUAUUUAAAUAAAGGGUCGGAAUGAGUGAGUGCGUGUGGGCGGGCAUUCCCGUCCUUCCUUGCUUGCCUUGGGAACAAUUGCCUUUUUUCUGUCUUUCUUUCUUCCUCAUCAAAGGACUGUGGAUGUCUGAAAUGUGACAUGUACCUGUUAUAUCCUUUGGCUUCUCCAUGGCCUCCUGGCACACCACUAUAUGAUCUCAGGUCUGUACAAGGUAUUCUAUACAUUUCUAAAUGUUCAAAGUAUGUUUUACAAGUACAAGUCAAAGGAUUGUACUUAGUAAAUGAGAUGUGAUGAAAAAAUCAAAUGUAUGACAGACAUCAACCAUGUGUGUGCAUGUGUCCAGCCUGGAGUGUCUAUGCUUGUCAAUCAGGGUUUACGAGGGUGGCAUUUGGGUGUAAAUUAAGUUGAGGAGACGUUAAAUAGCUCUAGAGAACGAGUGUGUCAUUUAUUUCCUUUUUUAUUGUCUUUUAGAUGUUUGAUUGCUUCUGGGCUCAUUAAAGUGGGGAAUCCUUGUAAAGGUCCUGUGACGUGACACUCGUGACCUCAAAACCCUGUUUGGCAUAAAUAAAGUUUGAGCUUAGCUACUUUCAAAAGGGUACAUUUUUAUACAUUAUUUUGGGGCAUAUGACAUUUUUACCUUUUACCAAUUGAGUUAGACACUUGGAGGUGAUACCAGUAUAAAAAACAAAGAAUGGUAUCGUACAAGUCAGUGAUUUUCAAUCAUCAGGUCUCGGUGCUGUAGGAAAAUGUCUGAUUUUAAUUAAUCCGUCCAAAAAAAGAGAAGAUUGAGAAUAAACUGAGAUGAAAGCUUAGUAUGAGUGGUGGUCAAAAGAAAGAAAAGACAUUGAGCUGAAGGCAAUAAAGUGAAAGUUAUCUUUUGGUGGUCCCAAGCAAGCUUAAAGGUCAUCUCCAAACAAAUCACCUGUCACUUCAUCAGUGAUUCAUUGUGAGCGAGAAGCGAGACGUCCAUCUCUCACGCAACAAUAUUGACAUGCAGUAAACACACAGACAUGUUCGCGGACAACAAAAG